AGGGGUGUAGCUUAAUAGUGGAGCACCUGUUUGGCAGGCAGAAGGCCCCAGGUUCCAUCCUUGGCAUCUCCU
Podarcis lilfordi (Lilford's wall lizard) is the source of this 72-nucleotide non-coding RNA. The record is from the annotation of a GenBank genome assembly. Lineage: Eukaryota; Metazoa; Chordata; Lepidosauria; Squamata; Lacertidae.